RNAcentral lists this small RNA (497 nucleotides) under Pongo abelii (Sumatran orangutan). Its description in RNAcentral is "processed transcript". Lineage: Eukaryota; Metazoa; Chordata; Mammalia; Primates; Hominidae. The record is from RNAcentral.
CCCAGUCCCAACCGGCGGGAAGACCGGCCCAUCAGCUUCUACCAGCUGGGCUCCAACCAGCUUCAGUCUAACGCUGUAUCUUUGGCCAGAGAUGCUGCAAACCUUGCCAAAGACAAGCAGAGGGCUUUCAUGCCCAGCAUCCUACAGAAUGAGACUUACGGAGCCCUCCUGAGUGGCAGCCCACCUCCCACCCAGCCUGCAGCCCCCAGCACCACCAGCGCCCCCCCGCUUCCUCCACGGAAUGUUGGCAAAGAUCCCCUGACCCCCACGCCGCCCCCUCCCGUUGCCAAGACGCCCAGCGUAAUGGAAGCCUUGAGCCAGCCGAGCAAGCCUGCCCCGCCUGGGAUCUCGCAGAGCAGGCCCCCACCUCUGCCCCCACAGCCGCCCAGCCGCCUCCCGCAGAAGAAGCCUGCGCCGGGGGCUGACAAGUCCACCCCACUGACCAACAAAGGCCAACCGAGAGGACCUGUGGAUCUCUCUGCAACAGAAGCUCUGGG